RNAcentral lists this ribosomal RNA (636 nucleotides) under uncultured Bacteroidales bacterium. Its description in RNAcentral is "bacterial SSU rRNA". It matches the Rfam family "Bacterial small subunit ribosomal RNA", at positions 103 to 736 of the family's 1533-position model. The record is from RNAcentral. Lineage: Bacteria; Pseudomonadati; Bacteroidota; Bacteroidia; Bacteroidales.
CGGGUGAGUAACGCGUAUGCAACUUACCUAUCAGAGGGGGAUAGCCCGGCGAAAGUCGGAUUAAUACCCCAUAAAACAGGGGUCCCGCAUGGGAAUAUUUGUUAAAGAUUCAUCGCUGAUAGAUAGGCAUGCGUUCCAUUAGGCAGUUGGCGGGGUAACGGCCCACCAAACCGACGAUGGAUAGGGGUUCCGAGAGGAAGGUCCCCCACAUUGGUACUGAGACACGGACCAAACUCCUACGGGAGGCAGCAGUGAGGAAUAUUGGUCAAUGGCCGAGAGGCUGAACCAGCCAAGUCGCGUGAAGGAAGAAGGAUCUAUGGUUUGUAAACUUCUUUUAUAGGGGAAUAAAGUGGAGGACGUGUCCUUUUUUGUAUGUACCCUAUGAAUAAGCAUCGGCUAACUCCGUGCCAGCAGCCGCGGUAAUACGGAGGAUGCGAGCGUUAUCCGGAUUUAUUGGGUUUAAAGGGUGCGUAGGUGGUGAUUUAAGUCAGCGGUGAAAGUUUGUGGCUCAACCAUAAAAUUGCCGUUGAAACUGGGUUACUUGAGUGUGUUUGAGGUAGGCGGAAUGCGUGGUGUAGCGGUGAAAUGCAUAGAUAUCACGCAGAACUCCGAUUGCGAAGGCAGCUUACUAAACCA